UACGGGGGGGGCAAGCGUUGUUCGGAAUUACUGGGCGUAAAGGGUGCGUAGGCGGCUCGCUAAGUUAGAUGUGAAAACUCUGGGCUCAACCCAGAGCCUGCAUCUAAAACUGGCGGGCUAGAGUUCUGGAGGGGGUAGCGGAAUUCCUGGUGUAGCGGUGAAAUGCGUAGAUAUCAGGAGGAACACCGGUGGCGAAGGCGGCUACCUGGACAGAAACUGACGCUGAGGCACGAAAGCUAGGGGAGCAAACAGG
RNAcentral lists this ribosomal RNA (253 nucleotides) under uncultured bacterium. RNAcentral describes it as "partial 16S ribosomal RNA". It matches the Rfam family "Bacterial small subunit ribosomal RNA", at positions 524 to 776 of the family's 1533-position model. The record is from RNAcentral.